UACGUAGGGUCCGAGCGUUGUCCGGAGUUACUGGGCGUAAAGCGCGCGCAGGCGGCGGUGCUGGCCCGGCGUGAAAGCCCCCGGCUCAACCGGGGAGGGUCGUCGGGGACCGCACCGCUUGAGGGCGGUAGGGGCUGGUGGAAUGCCUGGUGUAGUGGUGAAAUGCGUAGAGAUCAGGCGGAACACCCGUGGCGAAGGCGGCCAGCUGGGCCGUCCCCGACGCUGAGGCGCGAAGGCGUGGGGAGCGAACGGG
Molecule: ribosomal RNA, 253 nt
Filed under: uncultured bacterium
Lineage: Bacteria
Description: partial 16S ribosomal RNA
Rfam family: Bacterial small subunit ribosomal RNA
Source: RNAcentral